UAACAAUAACAAGAGUAAAACAUUGGUUUCUCCACUUCCUUUGCAGAGAGAUGCCCCAAGCAGAGUCCAUACAGUGGAGGCUGUAUCACCCAUGAGACCGUUAAAUCAGGGUACCUCCCCACUCUCUCUUAGUCUCUCCAGGAGGCGACUGCAGUAUGGUCUUCUGCAGUGAUGUGCUUUCCUGUACCCAUCCCACAGCCUGCAUUUCCCCUUGUGGGAUAAACACAGCAUGUAUUGUGAAUAUAUAAAGUUCCCCCUAGUGAAAAAGCAUGGGAUGACAUCCAUUUGUAGACAUAGUGCUUAAAAUUCAGUAGUCCUGUUUUCUUUUUUGAAAUAUUAUGUACCUGUAAAUGCAGCUGUUUGUUACAAUGUUAUCAAUUUUAAUAGAACCCAGUAUUGUUUUUUUAAACAAGUGUCCAAUUACAUGUGCAUUGAUGAAUGGUAUGUUUGUCUAUAAAUAAUUCAAAUGUUUUGUUUCAACAAAUGUUUUAAUAAA
Molecule: long non-coding RNA, 496 nt
Organism: Sinocyclocheilus anshuiensis
Lineage: Eukaryota; Metazoa; Chordata; Actinopteri; Cypriniformes; Cyprinidae
Exons: 3
Source: RefSeq, a predicted model, not a curated record